This 482-nucleotide ribosomal RNA is filed under the name uncultured bacterium. Its description in RNAcentral is "partial 16S ribosomal RNA". It matches the Rfam family "Bacterial small subunit ribosomal RNA", at positions 30 to 507 of the family's 1533-position model. The record is from RNAcentral.
AUUGAACGCUGGCGGCAUGCCUUACACAUGCAAGUCGAACGGUAACGGGCCUUCGGGUGCCGACGAGUGGCGAACGGGUGAGUAAUACAUCGGAACGUGCCCGAUCGCGGGGGAUAACGAGGCGAAAGCUUUGCUAAUACCGCAUACGAUCUACGGAUGAAAGCAGGGGACCGCAAGGCCUUGCGCGGACGGAGCGGCCGAUGGCAGAUUAGGUAGUUGGUGGGAUAAAAGCUUACCAAGCCGACGAUCUGUAGCUGGUCUGAGAGGAUGAUCCGCCACACUGGGACUGAGACACGGCCCAGACUCCUACGGGAGGCAGCAGUGGGGAAUUUUGGACAAUGGGCGCAAGCCUGAUCCAGCCAUGCCGCGUGCAGGAUGAAGGCCUUCGGGUUGUAAACUGCUUUUGUACGGAACGAAAAGCCUUCUUUUAAUACAGGAGGGUCAUGACGGUACCGUAAGAAUAAGCACCGGCUAACUACGUG